UCGUUCUAGUCUUCCUUAAUCGUAUAAAUUAGUACCCCACUUAUCUAUUCUAUAUAUUUAUGUAGAUUCUAUUUUACAUUUUUUCAACACCAUCAAAAUAUUACAGCAUUUUUUUUCCUCCCGUAAAUAACUUUUCUACCAGCAAUUUUGCUCUAAUUUACAAUGAAAACACUUUUUCUGGAAAUAAAUCUCACUAGGAUGGUACUUUAAGGAGAUCAUUUUUUGAUUUUCUCA
This is a non-coding RNA of Cinara cedri, 234 nucleotides long. NCBI's taxonomy places the organism in Eukaryota, Metazoa, Arthropoda, Insecta, Hemiptera, Aphididae. The record is from the annotation of a GenBank genome assembly.